Molecule: ribosomal RNA, 301 nt
Filed under: uncultured bacterium
Lineage: Bacteria
Description: partial 16S ribosomal RNA
Rfam family: Bacterial small subunit ribosomal RNA
Source: RNAcentral
CAGUCGCCGCGGGAACACGGAGGGGGCUAGCGUUGUUCGGAAUUACUGGGCGUAAAGCGCACGUAGGCGGCUUGGUAAGUUAGAGGUGAAAGCCCGGAGCUCAACUCCGGAAUUGCCUUUAAGACUGCCGAGCUAGUAGGUGAGAGAGGUAAGUGGAAUUCCGAGUGUAGAGGUGAAAUUCGUAGAUAUUCGGAAGAACACCAGUGGCGAAGGCGGCUUACUGGCUCAUUCUAGACGCUGAGGUGCGAGAGCGUGGGGAGCAAACAGGAUUAGAUACCCCAGUAGUCCCUGUCUCUUAUAA